Molecule: ribosomal RNA, 198 nt
Filed under: uncultured bacterium
Lineage: Bacteria
Description: partial 16S ribosomal RNA
Rfam family: Bacterial small subunit ribosomal RNA
Source: RNAcentral
ACGCUCGACACCUACGGCAGGCAGCAGUGGGGAAUAUUGCACAAUGGGGGAAACCCUGAUGCAGCGACGCCGCGUGAGCGAAGAAGUAUUUCGGUAUGUAAAGCUCUAUCAGCAGGGAAGAAACUGACGGUACCUGACUAAGAAGCACCGGCUAAAUACGUGCCAACAGCCGCGGUAAUCUGAGCGGGCUGGCAAGGC